Molecule: long non-coding RNA, 4629 nt
Organism: Peromyscus californicus insignis
Lineage: Eukaryota; Metazoa; Chordata; Mammalia; Rodentia; Cricetidae
Exons: 3
Source: RefSeq, a predicted model, not a curated record
GCGUAGCACAAGCUUGUAAUCCUAAAAUUCUUGAGAAGGUAGAGACAGGAGGAUUCUUGAGUUCAUUGUCCAGCCAGCUUACCCAAAUUAGUGAAUUCCAGGCCAGUGAGAGAUUCUGUCUCAAAAAAUAAGGUGGUUGGCCCCAAAGAAUGACAGCCAAAAUUGUACUCUGGCCUCAACAAUCACAUGCACACACAGCUUACACAUGUGAACACUUGGACACACACACACAUAUACACAAAACAAACUCAUUUUGAAUGUAUGUUUUUAAAUUAUUUUUAGAUUUAUUUAAGAUGUAUGAAUGUUUUGCCUGCAUGUAUGUAUGUGCACCAUGUAUGUGCCUGGUGCCCUGGUAGUCAGAAGAAAGCCUGUGAUCCCCUAGAACUGCAGUUAUGGGUUGUGAGUCACAAUGUGGGUGCUGGGAGUUGAACCUGGAUCCUCCAAAAGAACAAGAGCUCUAAACCACUGAGCCAUCUCCCCAGUCCCUUGACUGUUUAUUAUGAAUUGAGAUUUUAACUGAUAGUGUAAGUGCAUUGUAUGAUUUAUAUAAAUGCAUGUACAUUGGGGAUGCACACUCAAAUUUUUACUGAUGGAGAACCUAGUUAAAAAGGCAAGCUGUGGGGCUGUGGAGAUAGCUUGGUGAAUAAGGUGUUUGCCAACAGAAAUGUGAGAACCGCAAUUCAGAUGCUCAGACCACAUAAAAGCUGGGCAAGAGUGGCAGCCUCCUGUAAUCUCAGCACAGGGGAUCCCUGGGACAAGCUUACUGGCUAGACUGACUGGAACUGGCAAGCUCCAGGUUCAGGGAGAGAUCCUGCCUCAAUAGAUAAAGUAGAAAGCAAUCAAGGAAGCCACCUAACAACAAUUUCAGGCCUACACACACACACACACACACACACCAUGCACACAUGUUGGAAGAAGACAAGCUGUUGUCAUAAGCCACAUAAAUGAAUCUUCAUGAUCACCCUGUGGUACUGUUUUUUAGAAAAGAAAAUGGAAACUCAGGAAGACAAAGAUCCCCAAAAACCAUAAGCUGCAGGAUGUAUGGAGAAAUGAGGACCAGCCAGCUAUAAAACUUAAGUGAGCAAUUCAGAAAGAUACCUGGAAACUAAAAGGCAAAUUCCAGACUGAUCACUACUGAGUCAUGAGCUCUGCCCCCGUUCUAUUCCCAGAAGAUCAUGUCAGGAAAGCUCGCCCCAAAGCACCACUCACCCCAUCAGACUGAAAGAUGUUGCCUGGAUCCUAAGAGUGAAAACAUCACCCCUGGAGAAAAAAGCCAGGCACAAGUCAUAGGACAUUCUAAAGAUGCUACCAUCAUCAGCACCAACAAACACACACGUCACCUUCAUGAGCAGGUCUGAAAUGGGAAGCAAGCCCCCAAUCCCAGUUUAACUCCGGCUGCACAAAGGGUCUGAUCCUAGCAAAGACUAAGGCAUUUCAAAUCUGUGACUUUGUAGGUUGCAGUGUUUAAAAAUAAACAUACCCCCACCCUGCGUGUGCUACACACACACACACACACACACACACACACACACACACACACACACACACACACACCAAUACAUAAUGGGGAGAACUAGUCAUUGGAAGAACGGAAACCUAUUUCUCACUCUGCAGCGAUCCAGUCUGCCUCCCCCAGCUCAGAAAUGUGCUGUGCUCAGCGUUUCUGUGCGGAUGCUGCAUCCCUGGUUAGAAUAAGGAAGGCAGCAGCGGCUGCAGCAGCAGCAACAGUAGCAGCCACAGCACAGGCUCCAGGGGGUGGGAAUCAGAUUGCACCAUUUCUACCUCUUUGGCGACAGAAGCUCCAAGUGACAAGGAGGGUGAGAAUGUAGUCCAGAGGCUGCUGGGCUAUGUCACUCUGAAGGUGUCAUACCCGGGAUCUCUCACAUGCUGACUGAGAUACACUCAACAACCCCAAUGCUCACAUUCAAUAUCUCAAGGCUCGGCACAGCAUCCCGAGGCCUUACUACCCUGUUGUCCGAACUUGACAAGUCAGGAAGACUGAGGCUGGCACGUCUCGUGUUCCCUGGGCACGCCAGAUGCACUGUUGAUGCUGGGAGGGCGUUUCUCCAAACCUGGAGAUGUUAUUUGCCGGCAGUUCCUGUCAAGCCCUCUCCAUGCCACCACGCAUCUUCAGUCAUGGCUUCCUAACGCAUAGAGCUACGAGACUUCCUCUGUGCCCUGUCUCCACACUGAGAGGUCUGCGUUCCCCUCUCUUGCUCUUUCCUAGAGUAGCACUGAGUGUGUGCUCACUAAGCCACAGUGCCAGGCACAGUGCUAAGCAGCUUUCACGCAUGACGUCAUUUAACCCCAACAAUAAUUCUAUUCAGUAGAUAAUAUGAUUAGCCCGGCUUACCGAUGAAGAAACUGGCAACUUGUCCAAAAUGGCAUGGUUGAAAAAUAAUGGGGACGGAGAUCCUGUUUGGGAGGAUGAUGAAAGCUUCUGGAAAUGGAUAGAAGUGAUGAUUGAAUGACAUUGGAAACGUAUUUAAUGCUACGAUUUUAAAUGGUGUGGGGCAUGGUGGCUCAUGUGGGAGGCCGAGGUAGGAAGGCUGCCACAAGUUCAAAGCCAGCCUGGGCCAGCCUGAACUGCAGAGUGAGACCCUGUCUCAAAAUGAAACAAAAUAAAAGGCUAAAAUGCUAAAUUCAUGUUACACAUUUUUUUUUUACCACAAUAAAAGGAAAAGAGUAGGAUCAGGGAUAGAGCUCAGUUGGUAGAAUAUCUGUCUAGUACUCAGGAAGCCCUGGGUUCAAUCCCCAGCACCACAUAAAACUAGGCAUGGAGGCAUGUGUCUGAAAUCUCAUCGAUAAGAGGUGGAGGCAAAAGAAUCAGAAGUCCAAAGUCAUCCUUGGCUAUAUAUUGAGGCCAGCCUGCGCUACAUGAGAUUUGUCUCAAAAAAAAAAUUUUAAAAAAAGAAAGAAAAGGGGAAAGAAGGAAGAAGAGAAAGGAAGGAGAAGAGAGAAAAGAGAGGAAGAGAAAGAGAGAGAGAGCAUAAGCCACCUAGACAGGGGUGGAGGAGGGAGGGACGGAGGGAAGGAGAGAGGAAGGUCAAAAGUAAGCACCACGUCUCAUCUAUUGCUACAAACAAAUAGGACUCAGAAAUGGAGCUGAUGAGUCUGACUAAAUUAUAUCUGUUGUCAAAUAACUAGAUGUGUAUAACAUUGUAUCUUGAUAUUUGUCUGAGACUUUUUUGUAGCUAGAACAUGAUCAAGGUUUUAUAGGAAAUGUCACAGGGAUUUUUCUAAUAAUGAAUAAGAGGGUUUCUAAACCUGUGUGUUAAAGUAAGAUGUGUGCGUGCGUGCGUGCGUGCGUGCGUGCGUGCGUGCGUGCGUGUGUGUGUGUGUGUGUGUGUGUGUGUGUGAGAGAGAGAGAGAGGGGGGGGGGCAGACACACACACACACACACACACACACACAGAAGGAGAGAGAGAAAGAGAAUCUCAUGUAGCCCAGUCUGGCUUCAUACUUGUGUGUAGCCAAGGAUGACAUUAAUUGGAUCUUGCCUCUACUUUCCCAGUGAUGGAUUAUAGAUGUACACCAUCACACCCAGUAUAUGGGGUGCUGGAUAUUGAACCUGGGGUCUCACGCGUGUUAGACAAGCACUAUACAACUGAGCUACAUCCCCGGCCCUUUAAAAGAGGUUGUCACAUUGUUACAUUGUUCCAAGAUUGCAUAACCUUUCUAAGUUAUUGGCUUUUGAUGUCCAAGAAAAGGGAACUCAAAAUCUCUGUUUUGUGUUCCCGGUUUUUUCCCUAUUACUUCUCUUUGUUGAUGUUGUUUCGUUGGCAUUUGUGAUUUUUGGUUGGUUGGUUGGUUUGUUUGUUUGUUUGUUUGUUUGUUUUGUUUAGUUGUUUUUGUUUUUUGCUUUUCUACUUUGGAGCUCAGUUUCUAGGAGCAAACAAUUUUAGAACUAUUGUUCUACUCAGUUUUCUCCCUCUAUUGGUUGUUAUGUAAACUCCAUCUAUAUCAAUACUUCUAGUCUUCCAGGCUGCUUUAUUCUGACAUUAACAGUAAUUGCCAGUUUUUGUUUGGUUGAAAUUUGGCUCCUUGCAAGGUGUGGUGGCAUACACCUUUAAUCCCAGCACUUGAUUGGGGGGAGCGGGGCAGAGGCAGACGGAUCUCUGUGAGUUUGAGGCCGGCUGGGUCUACAAAGUGAGUUCCAUGACAGCCGAGGCUGUUACACAGAGAAACCCUGUCUCAAAAAACAAACAAGCAAAGAAAUUUAGCUCUCAUUCUCUCACCCUUUGCAUUUUAUGUUUUUAUAUGUUUCUUACAAACAACACAUAGGUAGAUUUUACUACAACUCCAGCUAGAUCUAUCUCCUUCGAGCUCUGCAAUAUGAUUCAAUGAAAAGAAGACUUUUUUGUUUGUUUUCUUUCAUUUUUCAAGACAAGGUUUCUCUGUGUAACAGCCCUGGCUGUCCUGGAACUAGCUUUGAAAACCAGGCUAGCCUCAAACUCACAGAGGUCUACCUACCUCUGCCUCCCAGAAAGAACACUCUUAAAGCCUGCCCAUAGGUUUUAGGGACUCAUUUCCAGGAGAUUUUCUGGUUUUCUCAUUGAAGGACCUCUGUGAGCAUGUUCUUCACAUACCCCUUACAGCACGUUAAAAAAAAAAAAAAAAAAAAAAAAA